This 26-nucleotide non-coding RNA is filed under the name Homo sapiens (human). The record is from RNAcentral. Lineage: Eukaryota; Metazoa; Chordata; Mammalia; Primates; Hominidae.
UGAUCGAAAGGUGUGAUUUAGAGAUC